CCCGGCUUAGCUCAGUUGGUAGAGCGGCGGACUGUAGAGAGUUCAACGGUGAAUUCGCCGUAAUCCGCAGGUCUCUGGUUCGAAUCCGGAAGCCGGGA
Molecule: transfer RNA, 98 nt
Organism: Thermoplasma acidophilum DSM 1728
Lineage: Archaea; Methanobacteriati; Thermoplasmatota; Thermoplasmata; Thermoplasmatales; Thermoplasmataceae
Rfam family: tRNA
About the family: Transfer RNA (tRNA) molecules are approximately 80 nucleotides in length.
Source: Rfam